This 588-nucleotide long non-coding RNA is filed under the name Lepisosteus oculatus (spotted gar). Its description in RNAcentral is "lncRNA (ENSLOCG00000022800.1)". Lineage: Eukaryota; Metazoa; Chordata; Actinopteri; Semionotiformes; Lepisosteidae. The record is from RNAcentral.
CGUCUCCUGUCCGUGCGGAGGUGGGGGGCGCCUGGAGUGUGUGGCGCUCCGGCUCAGUCCCAGUGCCCGGUGCUUCACCUGAGCGGAGGAGAGAGUAUCUGUUGUGCGGGGGUGAGCUGGUCAGGCUGAAAUGACAGUAGAGAGAUUUCUUUUCUUCUUUUCCGGAGGAGAACGGGACAGAAAGGCUGAGCUACAGCGCGGGACAUUGGCUGCUCUCUCCCCGCAGUAGCUAAGAGCACGGGCCGGAGCUCCCAGACGCACUUGGCCAUGCUGCAGGCGCCCCCCCCCAGGUGGCUCCGUCCCACAGGAUGUGACAUCACGCCUUGCCGCCCCCCGGACAGCUCAACCCCAGCGGCUGGUGCGCUCUCAAGAGAUGGAGUCCCGCGCGUCUCACAGGUUUCGCACCACCGAGUUGCUCGGAGGGUGGCUUGCGCCGGGCGGCGGUUAGCCUCCUCCGGACCUGUGAUGUCAGGUUGGAGCAGGGGUCCUCUAGGGGGCCGGCGCCGGCCCGCGGACGGGGGGAGCCUGAGGAACGCGGAUCUGAGGCAGGCCGCGGUGUGGCCCUCCUGGAGCAGUGCCUUUAGAUGA